AUGGCUCAAACCAAGGUCACUCGGAGGGCAGCUACAAUAUCAGCAAGAGUAGCAUCAAUAGCAAUAGCAUGGGAACUCUUCAUUAACAUCCUUAUGACAAUUGAAGUUGCCAAGCAGAGAGGCCUCUAAAAGAUGAGAAGCCAACAAAAUUUAUUGAGCAAGACAUACAUGAAGCAUUUUUUGUGGAAGUGGUCAAUUUUCUAUGGGAGGCUGGAGGGUCUUCUUAUCAGCCUGUUUGGCCAGUGAAUUUGAUCCAGCAAGAAUCAAUAGUUGGCUCAAUAGUUGGAUUCUUUGGUGCAGCACUGGGUAGUGUGGGAGGUGUUGGAGGUGGAGGUAUUUUUGUACCAAUGCUUGCCUUGAUCAUUGGUUUUGAUCCCAAGUCUUCCACUGCCAUUUCCAAAACUGUAUGCCAUCCUAUUGGUCAUGCAGGUUCAACAGUAUACUUCAAUUUGAGACUUAGGCACCCAACACUGGACAUGCCCCUUAUAGAUUAUGAUUUGGCUUUGCUCUUUCAGCCAAUGCUCAUGCUAGGCAUCAGCAUAGGAGUUGCCUUCAACGUCAUGUUCGCCGACUGGAUGGUCACAGUUCUACUUAUCAUUCUCUUCUUAGGUACAGCAGCAAAAGCUUUAAUGAAAGGCAUAGAAACAUGGAAGAAAGAGACAAUGAUGAAGAAGGAAGCAGAAAAGCAGUUGGAAUCAGAGUCCAAACCUGGCGUGCGCAUCUCCUUUGUUGCAGAUGGUUCUGGAGAAGACUACAAACCACUACCUGGUGGUCCUGCUUCAUUGCAAGAUGAGCAGGUGCCUAUAUCACACAACGUUUACUGGAAGGAGUUAUCGAUGCUUGUGUAUGUCUGGGUGGCUUUUCUUAUUGUUCAGAUUGUUAAGACAUAUACUGAAACUUGCUCCACCAUGUUCUGGGUCCUGAACUCCUUGCAGGUACCAAUUGCAGUCUCCGUUACGCUCUUUGAAGCCAUAUGCUUAUGCAAAGGCACCAGGGUGAUUGCAUCCAAAGGAAAGGAAAUCACAAACUGGAAGUUGCAUCAGAUUUUUCUUUACUGCAGCUGUGGGAUAGUAGCUGGUAUGGUGGGUGGCCUACUUGGGCUGGGAGGCGGUUUCAUCUUGGGACCCCCUUUUCAUGAAUUGGGAAUUCCUCCUCAGGUAGCAAGUGCUACAUCCACAUUUGCAAUGCUAUUCUCAUCCUCCAUGUCAGUUGUACAGUAUUACCUUCCCAACUGA
Molecule: RNA transcript, 1235 nt
Organism: Prunus dulcis (almond)
Lineage: Eukaryota; Viridiplantae; Streptophyta; Magnoliopsida; Rosales; Rosaceae
Gene name: sulfite exporter TauE/SafE family protein 3-like
Exons: 10
Source: RefSeq, a predicted model, not a curated record